Molecule: long non-coding RNA, 2809 nt
Filed under: Sus scrofa (pig)
Lineage: Eukaryota; Metazoa; Chordata; Mammalia; Artiodactyla; Suidae
Description: lncRNA (ENSSSCG00065007376.1)
Source: RNAcentral
AUUUAAGUCGCGGGACUCAAUAUGGCGGCGCGCGCUCGGCCGCUUGACCCCGGUGUCCCCUAAAGCGGGAGGUCUUCAGCAAGGUGAGGUUCCUCUGACCAAGAAGCCGGCUGCCCAGAUGCACUAAGCACUAAGCAAUAUGCCUCCCUCGCAUAUUCCGGUGUCAUGCUCCAUCAUAAGUGACUAGACAUAGUUCCAGUGCUACCCAGCAGGAUCUCAUUGCUCAUGCAUUCCAAAGGCAAGAGUCUGCAUCUCAAAAAAUCAAAUACCUGGGAAUACACCUGACCAAGGAGUUCCUGAGCAUUGACCACAAUAGCCCUUUCGGUGGUCCUGGUGGCAGCCGUCCAGCCAGUUCUGCUGUCGUCUUUCUCGUGUGUUCCCAGCUGACACUACGAUUCAGCUCAGAAAAAGCUGGUGUUCAUUUAGUGGGUUCUCUUAAUCGUCAACGUUGGAUGACCAGUAAAUCUGCUCAAUAAGGGAGAGAAAUUGUGUGUACGUGUGUGUGUGUGUGUGUGUGUGUGUGUGUGUGUGUAUAACUAAUCUUAAGUAUAUUUUACAUCCAAAUUUGAUCAAAUUUAUUUUUUUGGCAAAUGUAAUAAAGCUACUUAUAGACCCUAUCCCACUUCCUAAGAAAUAUAAUUUUUUGAUGCAGCCCAUUGUAGUAUGUGUGUGUGCAUCUGUGUGUGUGCACAUGUGUUGAUGGAGGCCAGAUUGCGUGGAGGCAGAAGCCAGAUUGUGUGUAUGUGUGUGCGUAAUUAAGGCUUUUAGCAUGCACUUUAUUUGAUUUGAAUUUGAUCUUCUUUAAGUGCAGGGUGAAACAUAGAAUCAAGCCUCACAAAGAAAUCCAAAAGCAUUGUAAAAAUUGUACAGUUUCAAACAUCAUUCAGAUGCAAACUCACGCCUGGCCAUGAUUUGAUCCAACAGGCCCCAAGGAUUGGUUUGGAUUUCUCUUGUCCUAGAUUUUCCAGACUUGGAGCUCUUUGUCAGGUGGCCUCUAUGCUCAUUGGUCAGGCUAUCAGACCUGUUGAAAACCAGCCAUCCUCUGACACCGCCUCGUUCAGUCAGUGUAACGAAUCUUUGCUCUCCGUGUCCAGGCCAAUGGGUUUAAUCUGGCAGUCGUGACGCGAGUUGGCGCCUAAGGCCCAUGUGUUUCUCCUGCACAUCUUGAAUAUUCUCUAUUUUGAGGCACCCCCCCUGCAGUGCCUCCAACCAUUCAGAGGUGGUUCCCAAACCUUCUGUAAAGCUCCCCCUGGCAUCCUUUUGUGACUCUCAGUUGGGACUCCCAAAGAAGGGGCUCCCCCGACCCAAGCAUUCAGGAACUACCCCAUGGAGUAAACAUCUCCAUUUUCGUUGAAAAAGCCCAGCAUCACCAGAUUGGGCAUUGCUGGUAAGUUCUCACGUGCUGACUGGUGUCAGACAAAAGAGUGAUGCUGUUUUAAUUUUCAUUUGGCACCUCUUUCUGCCCCAUGGCCCUGGCCAAGAUGUUCAGACGCUUUUAGUGGGGAGGGUAUACAGCUUGUGUCCUCCACUGCUUCCAGGUGGGCAUACAGGUUCUGACCAAAGGCCAGAUUCCCACCACACUUGUGCUCCAUGCUCCUCCAGAAUUCCCUUCCUUCACCUCCUGGGGCAGACCAAGGCUUCGGGAAACAGACAAAAAGAGAACCUCCGGUAUGUUAGGGCAGCAGAGAAUGGGCAGCACAGGAGCUGAGAGCUGUUACCAGACCCCGACGAUGGGGUUACAGGUAUCAUUGCCUCUGAUGGGCCCGACCGGAUGCGCAAGGCCUACGUCAGCAUCCCCGUCUGGGCACGCGCUGGUCUCCUAACCUGCGCCUGCGCCCUUCACGCUACCCGCAAGGGCGCGGCGACUUGUGAAUUUCUGCGCCUGCUCUCUAGUGCCUCCUUGCUCCAGGUCUUUGGGAACGUCUUUCUCUUUCUGUGCCGUGUGUCAGUUGUGCCUCAUCUGAUAUCAUCCAGCACAUGACAUCGUAGAGAAUAGGAGACCCUAACCGCCCUCCAGCGGAAGCAGGAUGCGUGACUGCUCCUGCUGCCGCCGCCCUUCUCCGUGUCUUCGCGUUCCUGUUGGAGGAUUAGAACACAGGCAUUUGGAGUCACUCCUCCGUGUGCAUCGGAUGACUGCUGCUCACCGCUGCCCUGUAGGUUUGGGAACUCUAUUUUCUAGGGUCCCCUCUGCACGUGGGUUUCGGGGCAGAGCCAGCUCACAUCAUCCGGUUCGGGGGCUCCUUUACGCGUCAGGCCGGGGGCGGGGUCUUCCUGCAGGGGCUGCUCCACCGGGCAGCCGUCCCUCCCCUUGAGCUGCUUCUGCGUCUCCUACCCCUUGGUAAACAGGUCAUUGUCUGUAAAUUCGCUGCUUGAACGCAUAGCGCGCUAGUGGCAGACACAGUAAGAGAAAUCCAACAUUAUUCAUAUCCCAGGACAAAGAAUCAAAUUACUGAUCAAAUCACUGAGGGAACCUUUAGGGAAACAAGUGUUCUUUAAGCCCUUUACUUAAGUGGCUUAAAGAAUUCCUAAAAUCACUUUCUUCUCCUGAAGGAAGUUUCUGAGCCAGCGGUGAACACACUAAGAAUUACAUUCAGGGAGUUCCCGUCAUGGCGCCGAAGAAACGAAUCCGACUAGGUUGCAGGUUCGAUCCCUGGCCCCGCUCAGUGGGUGAAGGAUCCAGCGUUGCCUUGAGCUGUGGUGUAGGUUGAAGACGCAGUUCGAAUCUGGCGUUGCUGGAGCUGUGGUGUAGGCCAGCAGCUGCAGCUCUGAUUUGACCCCUAGCCUGGGAACCUCCAUAUGCCGCAGGUGU